UACGUAGGGGGCGAGCGUUGUCCGGAAUCAUUGGGCGUAAAGCGCGUGUAGGCGGCUUGAUAAGUCUGGUGUGAAAUCCUGGGGCUCAACCCCAGACCUGCACUGGAUACUGUCAAGCUUGAGUCCGGGAGGGGAGAGCGGAAUUCCUAGUGUAGCGGUGAAAUGCGCAGAUAUUAGGAAGAACACCGGUGGCGAAGGCGGCUCUCUGGAACGGUACUGACGCUGAGACGCGAAAGCGUGGGGAGCGAACAGG
RNAcentral lists this ribosomal RNA (253 nucleotides) under uncultured Gaiellales bacterium. RNAcentral describes it as "partial 16S ribosomal RNA". It matches the Rfam family "Bacterial small subunit ribosomal RNA", at positions 524 to 776 of the family's 1533-position model. The record is from RNAcentral. Lineage: Bacteria; Bacillati; Actinomycetota; Thermoleophilia; Gaiellales.